RNAcentral lists this ribosomal RNA (449 nucleotides) under uncultured bacterium. Its description in RNAcentral is "bacterial SSU rRNA". It matches the Rfam family "Bacterial small subunit ribosomal RNA", at positions 329 to 795 of the family's 1533-position model. The record is from RNAcentral.
UUCCAGACUCCUACGGGAGGCAGCAGUGGGGAAUAUUGCACAAUGGGGGAAACCCUGAUGCAGCGACGCCGCGUGAGCGAUGAAGUAUUUCGGUAUGUAAAGCUCUAUCAGCAGGGAAGAAGAUGACGGUACCUGACUAAGAAGCCCCGGCUAACUACGUGCCAGCAGCCGCGGUAAUACGUAGGGGGCAAGCGUUAUCCGGAUUUACUGGGUGUAAAGGGAGCGUAGACGGCGAUGCAAGCCAGAUGUGAAAGCCCGGGGCGCAACCCCGGGACUGCAUUUGGAACUGUGUGGCUGGAGUGUCGGAGAGGCAGGCGGAAUUCCUAGUGUAGCGGUGAAAUGCGUAGAUAUUAGGAGGAACACCAGUGGCGAAGGCGGCCUGCUGGACGAUGACUGACGUUGAGGCUCGAAAGCGUGGGGAGCAAACAGGAUUAGAUACCCGCGUAGAA